UCUCCGUCAAUGUAAUGACAUAACAGGAAUACAAAAGCAACCCUCCCAAGUUAUAAUACCACAUAUUAAGAUCAAGCUAUAUCUGAUUGUGAAAUCGUAACUUUAUUUUCUUAUAUCCUCACAUUUUCAAAAGUCAGAUUGUUAAACUUGAUUCUUCAAACCUUUUACCCAACAAUCUCAUAGCCACCUAGUGGUCGGUGCUGCACUUAGCCCUUUAUCGAUCUCCGAUCUGCCCAACAAAUCUGUGGUUAGUUUUGCGGUAUAUAUAUAUAUUACAACAGCGUAGCAGCCAUUUUCCAAAGCCAUAUUUGAGAGAGAAGAAUAAGAAGCUAAGCAAAAGAUGAGUGAGGCGCCCAAGUACGCUUAUCCCUACCCUGCUCAAGGUUACUAUCAAGGCCCUCCGGUGAUGCCGCCGCCGCAGUACUACGCUGCUCCGCCACCCCCCAGGAGAGAAACUGGUUUUCUCGAAGGCUGUUUGGCAGCUCUGUGUUGCUGCUGGCUGUUAGAUGAGUGCUGCUGCGACCCCUCCAUCGUCUUCAUCAGCUGAUUAUUAUAUAUAUAGCUAAGUUAGUAUAUGCUGAUAUGCAUGGAGAUUGGUAUUACAAUUAGUGAUUAUAUGUUGUAGUAAGUUAUUAUCAGAUCUGUUUAAAUAAAUCUGCAGUGAUUUGAUGAUGUUUUUAGUUGUUAAUCAGGCUAAGAGAGCUUAAUUAGUUUGAUCUUGAAUAUAAUGUGAAAUGUGAGACCUUAGGGCUUUCAUGUCCAAAUUACACUAUCACUAAAAUUGACUCAUUUCUGGCUA
Molecule: long non-coding RNA, 799 nt
Organism: Ipomoea triloba (trilobed morning glory)
Lineage: Eukaryota; Viridiplantae; Streptophyta; Magnoliopsida; Solanales; Convolvulaceae
Exons: 3
Source: RefSeq, a predicted model, not a curated record